Bos indicus x Bos taurus (hybrid cattle) is the source of this 844-nucleotide long non-coding RNA. The record is from Ensembl. Lineage: Eukaryota; Metazoa; Chordata; Mammalia; Artiodactyla; Bovidae.
GUUUUAUGAUAUCUGUGUGAACCAUGCAGCCAGUCAGAAAUGGACUUUUUCUCAGAUCAAGAUGGAAGGUUUCCCCCCACCCUCAGAUAAAGGUAUAUAAAGUCCUUCCUUGAAGAAAUGAGGGAGAUUCUUUGAAUGAAACUACAUUUCCCAAAACAUUGUGACUCUGGGAGGCAGCUGGUUGGUGUAAACCUGUUUCAAGCUACAUCCCCCUAGGGAUGCCAUCAGUCACUGUGCUAGGCUAUACGGUGGUGAGCCAUGAUGGGGAUGAGAGGAACCAAAGCAACAGCAAACAAAAACUCUUCUUGGCUUUCAGUUUCCUCUCAGUGCUCUUUCACUGACUCUAAAGCAAAUGAAAGUUUCAGCACUGCAGAACAUCAACCAGUGGAGCCUUCUGCAGUGGUGUUCAGCAAAUGGGAAAGAGCAUCUUUGAGAUUUUCUUUUGGCCUUUGGAAUAUGAAAGGAGAUUCUGGGUAUGGGCCAGCGUUUUUGGGGUAAUGAAACUGGCUGACUCCUUUUCCUACUGGAGUAGGAUAACUUGCCUUUUUUUUUUUUUCCCUCCCCACAUGUCAGGUAUAUUUUGCAUCAGCCAUGUAGACCUAUCAACCCAUCAAUAUGAAUAGUCAUGGGAUAUCUAAUAGGAAAAUUGGGUACAACCACUUUAAAUUUCAACAAAGAUAAAUUUGUACAAUCUUUUUCUCUUUUCUAGUAUCAUCAUGAUAACCUCAAAGUCAAAAACAAUUAGGCAAAAAUAGAAAAAUAUAUCUUGAUUUUUACAUCAGAAACAUUCUCUGAGCUGCGGUUAUUAGGCUAAAAAUAAAUCCCCUGUAGUAAAUUCUGUGCA